CAAUGAUUUCCCUAGUAACGGCGAGUGAAGAGGAAAGAGCUCAAAGUUGGAAACUGUUUGGCUUAGCUAAACCGUAUUGUAAACUGUAGAAACAUUUUCCUGGCACACCAGAUUAAUAAGUCCUUUGGAACAAGGCAUCAUGGAGGGUGAGAAUCCCGUCUUUGAUCUGAGUAGUUGUCUUUUGUGAUAUGUUUUCAAAGAGUCAGGUUGUUUGGGAAUGCAGCCUAAAUUGGGUGGUAAAUCUCACCUAAAGCUAAAUAUUUGCGAGAGACCGAUAGCGAACAAGUACCGUGAGGGAAAGAUGAAAAGAACUUUGAAAAGAGAGUUAAACAGUAUGUGAAAUUGUUAAAAGGGAACCGUUUGGAGCCAGACUGGUUUGACUGUAAUCAACCUAGAAUUCGUUUUGGGUGCACUUGCAGUCUAUACCUGCCAACAACAGUUUGAUUUGGAGGACAAAAUUAAUAGGAAUGUAGCCUCUCGAGGUGUUAUAGACUAUUAUCAUACUCUGGAUUGGACUGAGGAACGCAGCGAAUGCCUUUAGGCAAGAUUGCUGGGUGCUUUCGCUAAUAAAUGUUAGAAUUUCUGCUUCGGGUGGUGCUAAUGUUUAAAGGAGGAACACAUCUAGUAUAUUUUUUAUUCGCUUAGGUUGUUGGCUUAAUGACUCUAAAUGACCCGUCUUGAAACACGGACCAAGGAGUCCACCAUAAGUGCAAGUAUUUGAGUGACAAACUCAUAUGCGUAAGGAAACUGAUUGAUACGAAGUCUUACGAUGGCAGUAUCACCCGGCGUUGACGUUUUAUACUGAACUGACCGAGGUAAAGCACUUAUGAUGGGACCCGAAAGAUGGUGAACUAUGCCUGAAUAGGGUGAAGCCAGAGGAAACUCUGGUGGAGGCUCGUAGCGAUUCUGACGUGCAAAUCGAUCGUCAAAUUUGGGUAUAGGGGCGAAAGACUAAU
RNAcentral lists this ribosomal RNA (956 nucleotides) under Mucor sp. RNAcentral describes it as "partial large subunit ribosomal RNA". It matches the Rfam family "Eukaryotic large subunit ribosomal RNA", at positions 69 to 935 of the family's 3401-position model. The record is from RNAcentral. Lineage: Eukaryota; Fungi; Mucoromycota; Mucoromycetes; Mucorales; Mucoraceae.